AGAGUUUGAUCCUGGCUCAGAAUGAACGUUGGCGGCGUGGAUUAGGCAUGCAAGUCGAACGGGCCUGGUUUUCGGAUCAGGUCAGUGGCGUAAGGGUGAGUAAGGCGACGGCAACCAACCCCAUGGUUGGGCAUAGCCGCGGGAAACUGCGGGUAAUUCCCAGCGAUGUUCGUGUCGGGCAUCCGGUGCGAACCAAAGUUUCGGCGCCGUGGGACGGGCCGUCGUGGUAUUAGGUCGUUGGCGGGGUAAUGGCCCACCAAGCCUCUGAUGCCUACCGGGCGUGCGAGCGUGGCCCGGCACACUGGGACUGAGACACUGCCCAGACUCCUACGGGAGGCUGCAGUCGAGAAUCUUCGGCAAUGGGCGCAAGCCUGACCGAGCGACGCCGCGUGGAGGAUGAAGGCCUUCGGGUUGUAAACUCCUGUCGAGGGGGAGGAAGGCGCAAGCUUGACCUAUCCCUGGAGGAAGCACGGGCUAAGUUCGUGCCAGCAGCCGCGGUAAGACGAACCGUGCGAACGUUAUUCGGAAUCACUGGGCUUAAAGCGCGUGUAGGCGGAUGGGGACGUCGGUUGCUGAAAUCCCCCGGCUCAACCGGGGAACUGGCGCCGAAACGCCCCGUCUGGAGGGACGUAGGGGACCUGGAACUUCCGGCGGAGCGGUGAAAUGCGUUGAGAUCGGAAGGAACGCCCGUGGCGAAAGCGAGUCCUGGACGUUUUCUGACGCUGAGACGCGAAAGCUAGGGGAGCGAACGGGAUUAGAUACCCCGGUAGUCCUAGCUGUAAACGAUGGGCACUGGGUAGGGGGCUCGCCGAUGGGCUCCCUGCCGUAUGGAACCCGUGAAGUGCCCCGCCUGGGGAGUUGGUCGCAGGCUGAAACUCAAAGAAUUGACGGGGCUUACACCAGCGUGGAGCAUGUGGCUUAUUCUAGGCUCGCGAAGAACCUUAUUCUUGGCUUGA
Molecule: ribosomal RNA, 956 nt
Filed under: uncultured bacterium
Lineage: Bacteria
Description: bacterial SSU rRNA
Rfam family: Bacterial small subunit ribosomal RNA
Source: RNAcentral